CUGUAUGCGUACACGGUGGCGUACCCCUGCACGUGGUCCGGGGGAUUGGAGAGGUGGCCUGGACUUUGGGCGGAGGGGUGAGUAAUGCUUACGAAUCUGCCUAUUAGUGGGGGACAACAUAUCGAAAGGGAUGCUAAUACCGCAUACGUCCUACGGGAGAAAGCAGGGGAUCUUCGGACCUUGCGCUAAUAGAUGAGCCUAAGUCGGAUUAGCUAGUUGGUGGGGUAAAGGCCUACCAAGGCGACGAUCUGUAGCGGGUCUGAGAGGAUGAUCCGCCACACUGGGACUGAGACACGGCCCAGACUCCUACGGGAGGCAGCAGUGGGGAAUAUUGGACAAUGGGGGGAACCCUGAUCCAGCCAUGCCGCGUGUGUGAAGAAGGCCUUAUGGUUGUAAAGCACUUUAAGCGAGGAGGAGGCUACUUUAGUUAAUACCUAGAGAUAGUGGACGUUACUCGCAGAAUAAGCACCGGCUAACUCUGUGCCAGCAGCCGCGGUAAUACAGAGGGUGCGAGCGUUAAUCGGAUUUACUGGGCGUAAAGCGUGCGUAGGCGGCUUAUUAAGUCGGAUGUGAAAUCCCCGAGCUUAACUUGGGAAUUGCAUUCGAUACUGGUGAGCUAGAGUAUGGGAGAGGAUGGUAGAAUUCAGGUGUAGCGGUGAAAUGCGUA
This 667-nucleotide ribosomal RNA is filed under the name Acinetobacter sp. HPC 913. RNAcentral's name for it is "bacterial SSU rRNA". It matches the Rfam family "Bacterial small subunit ribosomal RNA", at positions 29 to 692 of the family's 1533-position model. Lineage: Bacteria; Pseudomonadati; Pseudomonadota; Gammaproteobacteria; Moraxellales; Moraxellaceae. The record is from RNAcentral.